CAUGCACCAUUUUUCCGCAAUCACGUUAAACUUUAUGACAAUUUUGUGGGCCGAUAGAAGAUGAACACAAACCAGGUCUAUCGGAGAUGAGCCACAUAGAAUAAACCUCUAUCAAUGAGAGAAACAAUGUAGAUUCAUUUCAGCAAACUGCCAAAUACGCGAAGCCAUCAGAUUGAAUGCUCUCUGCCCAUCCACACUUCACUAUCAAGAUCGAAUAUAUAUAUAUAUAUAUAUAUAUUACGUAGAUAGAUAGACAGAUAGAAAGGCAAAUGUAUGAUUGUCCCUUAGUACAAAACUCGGUGAGACUUAAAACCUCACCCCCUUGUAAAUAUUGAAUAUAAAACUGGUUGGGCCAGGCCAGGAAAANNNNNNNNNNNNNNNNNNNNUAUUAUAUUAUAUUACUAUUCAGUAUUCCAUUCUAACCAUCUAUUAAUAUUUUACUAAAUUUUAGCUAUGGAUUUUAAAAAGAUAUUUUAGGAAAGAAAAAAAUAUCAUUAUUUUUUAUGUUACGGAAAGUACCAAAAUCCAUCUCUCUCAUAAGUUUCCACUCCCCAUUAAAUGUGGAAAGUGACUUCUCAGGAAAAGUAUUUUUUUAACUUUCUCUCCUCUUAAAAUUCCGACCAAAUAAGAGGCUUUUUCUUCACUUUUCAGAAAGUAUCUCUUUCUCUCUCCACUUUCCGUCAACCAAACGAGUUCCAAGUUCUAUAAUUUUCAUAUCUAAAGCUGCACCUCAUUCAGUUACAUGCACCACUUUUCCGCAAUCACGUUUCACCUUAAACGUUAUGACAAUUUUGUGGGCCGAUAGAAGAUGAACACAAACCAGGUCUAUCGGAGAUGAGCCACAUAGAAUAAACCUCUAUCAAUGAGAGAAACAAUGUAGAUUCAUUUCAGCAAAAUGCCAAAUACGCGAAGAGGGGGUAGUGGCCAAUGUACGAGGAACAGCCAUCAGAUUGAAUGCUCUCUGCCCAUCCACACUUCAC
Molecule: long non-coding RNA, 980 nt
Filed under: Elaeis guineensis (African oil palm)
Lineage: Eukaryota; Viridiplantae; Streptophyta; Magnoliopsida; Arecales; Arecaceae
Description: long non-coding RNA (EGUI_LNC017786)
Source: RNAcentral